This 989-nucleotide small RNA is filed under the name Rattus norvegicus (Norway rat). RNAcentral describes it as "uncharacterized LOC108352160". The record is from RNAcentral. Lineage: Eukaryota; Metazoa; Chordata; Mammalia; Rodentia; Muridae.
AGGACCGCGGGCCCUUGCAGCUCCUCUGGCGGCAACUCUCUGGAACUCUCUGGUUCUGCCGCCCUCUCCCGCGCCACCCAGCCCCCUACCCGCCACCGAGAUCUGACCCUGUGCAUUCCCGCCCGUGGGCCCCGCGCUGGGUAUCACGGCGGGCGCUCGGCUCCCGCUCGAGGCCCCGGGAACCCCUCCCCCACGCCUACGGUUUGACCGCUGAGGGGACCCACCCUCGGAUUCUGCAGACCAGGUCUCGGGGAAGCGUGCCCUUGGAGUCUUUCCCCUCACCGGGCUUCCAGUGGUCUUUGUGUGAUUUCUGGGGCCUUUCUCUGGUCCCUGAGUGUCUUCUCUGGUGCCCACAGGCAAGUCUGACUCUCUGAUGCCACCUGUCGCUUAUAAUCCGCAGAAAUGGCCACACAGCUCGCAGACACAUCGAGGCGGGUAGGGUAACCCAGCGUCUCCCGGUGGCACUCUGGGAGGCGGGAAGAGGAUCAAGCAAGAGGAUGUUCAGUUAUGAACCCCAGCAUCUCCUGUGGCAAGAAGAGCUCCUGUGCUAAACAGAAGGACAGAGAAAGUACUGAGGAGCAUGGGCGCCUACACGACUCUUCAAGGAGUCUAUUUCUCCCAUGGUGACAAGGGAGUGCUUGCUACUGGAAAUUUGUACAAUAAAUCAAAGAAGAAAAAAAUUACCAAUAACCAAUCACCCAAAGUAACUUUUGUUGGCAAUCAAGUACAUUUUCAAUUAUUUCGUCUUGUUGUUGAUUUAUGAUUAAUCUGUAAAGAUAAUUCUAGGGGCUGGAGAGAUGAUGGCUCAGUAAUAUAGAGACUUCCUGCUCUCGAGAGGACCUGAGUUCAGAUCCCGGCACCCAUGUCAGAGGCUCACAAUCACCCGUGCUUGCAACUCUAGGGGCCUAGAUGCCCACUGACCCCAGGGGAACCUGUACUCACAUGUGCGCAUUCACACACAGACACGUACAUAAAUUAAAAUAACAAUU